CUCUCACUGGUGAUCCACUAGGAUGAAGUACAGAUGGAAUGUGAAGCACUGGCUUGUGUAGUAAUGGUGGCCACUUAAUGGUAGAUACAGUAGUAAUUUUAAGAAUUAUGGGGUUCUACAACUUUUGUUCAAGGAAUUUGAUGCUUUGAAAAAAAAGAAAAGGAGAAGCUCAAGGAUCAAACGAGGACCUCAUGCUUGCCAGGCAGGUGCUACGCUGCUGAGCUACAUCCCUAGUCCAGAAACUUCUUAAUCUCCAGACUAGCAAAAGACUCUCUCCUCCUUGCUAGAAGACAGCCUACCCUCACUUGGAAACAGCAAUAAGUGACUUCCGCCAUUCCCUGAGCUGUUUCUCCUCUGCCAUGCCCCUCUGCCAUACCACCCUGCCUUGAAGCCAGCUGAGACUGUGGACUGAAACAUCUAUAAACUGUGGGCCAAAAUAAACC
This 443-nucleotide long non-coding RNA is filed under the name Heterocephalus glaber (naked mole-rat). RNAcentral's name for it is "lncRNA (ENSHGLG00000037558.1)". Lineage: Eukaryota; Metazoa; Chordata; Mammalia; Rodentia; Bathyergidae. The record is from RNAcentral.